Non-coding RNA from Nicotiana tabacum (common tobacco), 2567 nucleotides. NCBI's taxonomy places the organism in Eukaryota, Viridiplantae, Streptophyta, Magnoliopsida, Solanales, Solanaceae. The record is from RefSeq and is a predicted model, not a curated record.
CUAAACCCACUUCCUCUCUCCCUAACUCGCGCUAAUUAUUUCGCAAUUUCAUCUCCCAAUUUCGCUCUCUCUCACUCUCUCUCUCUCUACCAAAUUUGUAACAUAAACACUGCAAUGAGGGUUCUUAGCUAUGGGUGGAAUUUAGCUUUGUAAAAUUAAAUACCCAAUAGAUUCACAAAGUAGCAGAAUCGUGGGGGUCUCAAAAUCAGUUAGAAAUCAAUAGUUGAGAUUUUGCAAAGUGUAUUUGCAGAGACAAAAAGGUUGGGAUCUCUUUCUACCAUCAGCUUUCUCCGGAAAAGAUCGAUUCCUUGAGCGUGUUCACAUAAUUAGUUUCUCAGUUAGCUUCAAUCGCGAGAAAUUAUUUUUCCAAAAGGCACACUGUGAGAAAUCACUAGCUGAAGAAUUUGAAUUAAAUGGAUUAUGGAGAUGAAAGUUGGAUGAAUCUCCUAAGAUGGACGGAUGAGUAUAUUCGUGGAGUAAAUACUUUUCUUGAUAAGGCAUUUGAAUGAGCUUCCCAGGGAAAUAAAAUAUUAUGUCCUUGCAAAAAGUGCAUGAAUCGCAAUUGGCAUUAUAGAAAUGUGGUGGAGGAUCACUUGGUAGUAAAUGGGUUUGUUGCUGGUUAUACCAAAUGGGUUUUCCAUGGGGAAGGAUUUUCCUCGGCAAAUCCACCUAAUCCAUGCAAUGAUGAUGAUGAUUUUGACAUGCGUAACGAUAUUGACAGACUACUUCAUGAUACAUUUAGAAAUAUAGAGGGUGAGUCAAGGCAUGAAGAAGGAGUGAAAGAGGGACUAUCUGAAGAUGCAAAGAGAUUUUUUAGAUUGGUUGAUGAGGGAAAACAAGAGUUAUAUCCUGGGUGUGAAAAUUUUACUAAACUAAGUUUCACCAUUUGGCUAUACUUGCUUAAAUCCUUGCAUGGGUGGAGUAAUGUAGCAUUUUCAGACAUGCUGGACUUGAUAAAAGAGGCAUUUCCAUUUGCUCAACUACCAGAGUCGUUUAACAAGGCUAGAAACAUGAUAAGAGAUUUGGGUCUUCAUUAUGAAAAAAAUACAUGCAUGCCCUAAUGAUUGCAUGCUAUUUUGGAACGACAAUGCGAAGGCUGAUACUUGUUCUGUUUGUGGGACUUCAAGAUGGAAGAGUACUAAUGCAAGUUCUAAUAUCCUUGCAAAGGUUUUAAGGUACUUUCCCUUAAAGCCUAGGCUUCAAAGGAUGUUCAUGUGUCCUGAAACAGCUAUUGCAAUGAAAUGGCAUGCUAAUGAACGACCCAAUGAUGGAAAUUUAAGGCAUCCGGCUGAUGGAGAAGCUUGGAAGGAUUUUGAUUCCUUGCACCCGGACUUCGCUAGAGAAUCGCGUAAUGUUAGGCUGGGUCUUUCAAGCGAUGGUUUUAAUCCAUUUAGAACCAUGAGCAUUUCUCAUAGUACAUGGCCUGUUGUGUUGAUGAACUAUAAUUUAUCGCCGUGGAUUUGCAUGAAGCCGGAAUAUAUUAUGUUGUCAAUGAUCAUUCCAGGUCCAUCAUCUCCAGGAAAUGAUAUUGAUGUGUACCUACAACCACUAAUUGCAGAACUGAAGGAACUAUGGGAAGUCGGGAUAGAAACAUAUGAUGCUGAUACAAACCAAACAUUUCAAAUGCGUGCAGCUUUAUUGUGAACAAUUAGUGAUUUUCCAGCAUUAGCAAUGCUUUCAGGAUGGAGCACAAAGGGUAGAUUGGCAUGCCCCAUUUGUAAUUAUGACACAUGCUCUCAAUAUCUUAAACAUAGUCAUAAGAUGUGUUACUUGGGCCAUCAAAGAUUUUUGCCUCCUGAUCAUCCAUUCCGAAAAGAUAAGAGGUCAUUUGAUGGUAAGGAGGAGCAUAGACCUGCACCUACUUCUUUAUCGGGUGUAGAAGUAUUUGAAGAAUUGCUUGAAUUCAAUAAUGUUUUUGGAAAGGGAAAAAAGAAAAAACUUCGUAACAACAAAAGUCCGUGGAAAAAGAGAUCUAUUUUUUUUAAUUGCCAUAUUGGGCGCAUAACAAAUUGAGGCACAAUCUUGAUGUGAUGCACAUUGAGAAAAACAUAUGUGAUAGUUUGAUUGGGACUUUCUUAGAAAUAGAUAGAAAGUCAAAGGAUCAUGUAAGUUCUCACUAUAACUUGCAAGAAAUGGGGAUACGAAAGGAGCUACAACCAAGAGAAGAUGAUAAUGGAACAGUAAGUUUGGCUCAAGCUUGUUUCUCCAUGAGUCCAGAAGAGAAAAGCUUGUUUUGCACCGUUAUUAAAAAUGCCAAAUUGCCAAAAGGGUGUGCUUCAAAUAUAUCAAACCGUGUGCAUGUGAAGGAGAUAAAAAUAUCAGGGUACAAAAGUCAUGAUGCUCAUUUUAUAAUGCAUUACUUACUCUAGGUUGAAGUUAGGAAAUCAUUGCCUAAGAAUGUUUCGUUGACCUUGAUUAGGUUGGGCGAUUUCUUUAGAGCUAUAUGUAGUAAGGUUGUAAUGAGAAAGGAUCUUGAAAAAAUGCAAUCUGAAAUUGCUGAAAUAACUUGUAAACUUGAAAGGAUUUUUCUUCCAACAUUUUUUGAUAUAAUGCCACAUUUGCCUAUU